UACGUAGGGUGCGAGCGUUAAUCGGAAUUACUGGGCGUAAAGCGUGCGCAGGCGGUUCGUUGUGUCUGAUGUGAAAGCCCCGGGCUCAACCUGGGAAUGGCAUUGGAAACUGGCGAGCUAGAGUGUGGCAGAGGGGGGUGGAAUUCCGCGUGUAGCGGUGAAAUGCGCAGAUAUCGGGAGGAACACCGGUGGCGAAGGCGGUUCUCUGGGCCUUACCUGACGCUGAGGAGCGAAAGCGUGGGGAGCGAACAGG
Molecule: ribosomal RNA, 253 nt
Filed under: uncultured bacterium
Lineage: Bacteria
Description: partial 16S ribosomal RNA
Rfam family: Bacterial small subunit ribosomal RNA
Source: RNAcentral